GGGGCUAUAGUUAAGAAUAACAUUUGAGUUGCAUUCAAAAAGUACUACUAAGUAGUUAGUCUCA
This 64-nucleotide transfer RNA is filed under the name Nasutitermes sp. RNAcentral's name for it is "tRNA-Ala". The record is from RNAcentral. Lineage: Eukaryota; Metazoa; Arthropoda; Insecta; Blattodea; Termitidae.